UACGGAGGGGGCAAGCGUUGUUCGGAAUUAUUGGGCGUAAAGAGUAUGUAGGCGGCUAGAUAAGUCAGACGUGUAAGCCCAUGGCUCAACCAUGGAAUUGCGUUUGAAACUAUUUAGCUUGAGUGCAGGAGAGGAAAGCGGAAUUCCCAGUGUAGCGGUGAAAUGCAUUGAUAUUGGGAAGAACACCGGUGGCGAAGGCGGCUUUCUGGUCUGUUACUGACGCUGAGGGACGAAAGCGUGGGUAGCGAACAGG
Molecule: ribosomal RNA, 253 nt
Filed under: uncultured bacterium
Lineage: Bacteria
Description: partial 16S ribosomal RNA
Rfam family: Bacterial small subunit ribosomal RNA
Source: RNAcentral